CUUUUAUUAUUUUCCCAAUAUUAUCUUAGAUCCUGAGUUUUCAAUUCUGUGAAUAUUUCAAUGAAAUUGACACAGGUGGUAUUAAAAUAGUUAGGAAACUAAAAUUAGACCUUAUAUAUUAAUAUAAUUAUAUAUAAUUUUAUAUUACAUAAAUAUAUACUAAAGUUUUAAUAGGUUAUUUCACAUGGAGACAAUGGGACAAAAUGGGUUAAGGAAGUCUGUCCUAGUCUUCUAUAAUAGCUCCAAUUCAUCCUUUUUAAAAAAAUAUUUAUUUUUUAGUUUUAGGUGGACACAAUAUUUUAUUUCUGUGUGGUGCUGAGGAUCAAACUCAGUGCCUCAUGUGUGCUAGAUGAACACUCAACCAUUGAGCCACAACCCCAGCCCACCAAUUCAUUCUUUUUAAUGGCUGUAUUAAAAUUAUAUAGUAUAAAUGUUUACUAUAAUUAUUCAAACAUUCUCAUAUUGGUGAACAUUCACUUUGUUUCUGCUUAUUUUUUCCUUAUUAGAAAACCCUCUAGGAAACACCCUAAUAUGUCCUUUAUUUUCUGAUAGUUUUAAUUAUGAGUGGUAGAUUUGUG
This 578-nucleotide long non-coding RNA is filed under the name Marmota monax (woodchuck). The record is from RNAcentral. Lineage: Eukaryota; Metazoa; Chordata; Mammalia; Rodentia; Sciuridae.